RNAcentral lists this microRNA precursor (89 nucleotides) under Medicago truncatula (barrel medic). RNAcentral describes it as "MIR2617 microRNA precursor family". It matches the Rfam family "MIR2617 microRNA precursor family". Lineage: Eukaryota; Viridiplantae; Streptophyta; Magnoliopsida; Fabales; Fabaceae. The record is from Rfam by way of RNAcentral.
AUGUAGUGUGACAUGCCCGUUUGGGAUUUACUCUGAUGUGUAUUUAAUUGUUAUUUAAUUACUUUUGGGUAACGGGGUGUUACAGUGAA